This is a long non-coding RNA of Homo sapiens (human), 1152 nucleotides long. RefSeq lists it as uncharacterized. NCBI's taxonomy places the organism in Eukaryota, Metazoa, Chordata, Mammalia, Primates, Hominidae. The transcript is spliced from 3 exons. The record is from RefSeq and is a predicted model, not a curated record.
UGCAGUGUGUCUGUUGGUAGAACAAAAUCAAUGCCAUGCUUUUCCAGGAGCAGAAGAUUUAUACAGAAUUUCUAUUCAUGCAAUGGAAUACCACAGGCGUCCUACAGGAGGAUAAGAACAGUCUAUGCUGUUGCUGCCAAAUGACCUCUGAGAUCCUUCAGGGACCCAGGCGUCCUGGCCCAGCACUCACAGGAGACACUGAGUUGGAUGGUUCUCUCCGUGGUCACACCAGCUCCGGGGAACGUCACUCGACAGAUUGACCCUCAUGGGCCAGAGAUGCCAGAGACUCGCCCAGAGAUGGGAGGAGAUGGAGCAGAAUCUGAGUCUUGCCUUCCAGGAGCACCAGAGCCUGGAUCAGUACCUUCGGGGCCAUCUGAGACAUGCGAACCCCAUGUCUAAAGUCCUUCCACUCUGAGGUGCUUUUCUGUGCACAACUGUUUACACCAGGCAGCUGGUCACUCCAGGCCUGGCCCGAGUCACGGCCUCUUCUUGACCUGUGGGGUGGUUCGUCCUGCAGGAUAUAGGUUUCUGUAGGGUUCAUGUAAGUGUCUGGGGCAGAAGAAAUGAAGAAGGGUCCUAGAUGUGGUGAAGGUGACAGUCAUUCAUUCAUUCAAUUCAUUCAUUCAUUCAUUCACCUAAGCUAUACCGAGCAUCUAUGUGCCAAUGAGGCUGGAGACAAGAAGAGAUGCCACUGACCUGGUCCCUCCCCUUUAGAUACUCCCCAUCCAUAGCCUCAUGUUCACCACACACAAAUACUGUUUGGCUUCACAGCUGUGGAUGCUGGUGACUUUGCCAUAUGUCAUGGUAUCAUAUGAGGUAUUUUUAAGAAGUAUGACUAUGGAUUUUUUCCCCUGGCAGUUAGUACACUGAUUUGCAAUGUUUCAGCGACAUCUCUAAAAUAAGAAACAUGUAGUAUUUUCAUGUAAAACGAAAGCUUCUGUGAACAAGUCCAGAAGAAAUUUCUUUUCCAUUAGUGUUGCCAUUCCCUGCAGUGGGGACAGCAGCAAUUUUUUUAUGGGGCUUACCAUAGAGAUUAGCAUUUUCUUUCAUGUAAAAAUACAUUUCUGAUAAUUAAAUGAGGCCCAAAGACAUAAUGUUUCCAGACAAUAUGAGUUGAAUGUACAGACAAAAUUAAAAUUUAGCUUCAGCUCA